RNAcentral lists this ribosomal RNA (497 nucleotides) under uncultured bacterium. Its description in RNAcentral is "partial 16S ribosomal RNA". It matches the Rfam family "Bacterial small subunit ribosomal RNA", at positions 28 to 507 of the family's 1533-position model. The record is from RNAcentral.
GACGAACGCUGGCGGCGUGCCUAAUACAUGCAAGUUGAGCGCUGAAGGUUGGUACUUGUACCAACUGGAUGAGCAGCGAACGGGUGAGUAACGCGUGGGGAAUCUGCCUUUGAGCGGGGGACAACAUUUGGAAACGAAUGCUAAUACCGCAUAAAAACUUUAAACACAAGUUUCAAGUUUGAAAGAUGCAAUUGCAUCACUCAAAGAUGAUCCCGCGUUGUAUUAGCUAGUUGGUGAGGUAAAGGCUCACCAAGGCGAUGAUACAUAGCCGACCUGAGAGGGUGAUCGGCCACAUUGGGACUGAGACACGGCCCAAACUCCUACGGGAGGCAGCAGUAGGGAAUCUUCGGCAAUGGACGAAAGUCUGACCGAGCAACGCCGCGUGAGUGAAGAAGGUUUUCGGAUCGUAAAACUCUGUUGGUAGAGAAGAACGUUGGUGAGAGUGGAAAGCUCAUCAAGUGACGGUAACUACCCAGAAAGGGACGGCUAACUACGUG